RNAcentral lists this ribosomal RNA (497 nucleotides) under uncultured bacterium. RNAcentral describes it as "partial 16S ribosomal RNA". It matches the Rfam family "Bacterial small subunit ribosomal RNA", at positions 28 to 507 of the family's 1533-position model. The record is from RNAcentral.
GAUGAACGCUGGCGGCGUGCCUAAUACAUGCAAGUCGAGCGAACAGACGAGGAGCUUGCUCCUCUGACGUUAGCGGCGGACGGGUGAGUAACACGUGGAUAACCUACCUAUAAGACUGGGAUAACUUCGGGAAACCGGAGCUAAUACCGGAUAAUAUAUUGAACCGCAUGGUUCAAUAGUGAAAGACGGUUUUGCUGUCACUUAUAGAUGGAUCCGCGCCGCAUUAGCUAGUUGGUAAGGUAACGGCUUACCAAGGCAACGAUGCGUAGCCGACCUGAGAGGGUGAUAGGCCACACUGGAACUGAGACACGGUCCAGACUCCUACGGGAGGCAACAGUAGGGAAUCUUCCGCAAUGGGCGAAAGCCUGACGGAGCAACGCCGCGUGAGUGAUGAAGGUCUUCGGAUCGUAAAACUCUGUUAUUAGGGAAGAACAAAUGUGUAAGUAACUAUGCACGUCUUGACGGUACCUAAUCAGAAAGCCACGGCUAACUACGUG